AGUCGAGCGGAUGAAGGGAGCUUGCUCUCUGAUUCAGCGGCGGACGGGUGAGUAAUGCCUAGGAAUCUGCCUGAUAGUGGGGGACAACGUUUCGAAAGGAACGCUAAUACCGCAUACGUCCUACGGGAGAAAGCAGGGGACCUUCGGGCCUUGCGCUAUCAGAUGAGCCUAGGUCGGAUUAGCUAGUUGGUGAGGUAACGGCUCACCAAGGCGACGAUCCGUAACUGGUCUGAGAGGAUGAUCAGUCACACUGGAACUGAGACACGGUCCAGACUCCUACGGGAGGCAGCAGUGGGGAAUAUUGGACAAUGGGCGAAAGCCUGAUCCAGCCAUGCCGCGUGUGUGAAGAAGGUCUUCGGAUUGUAAAGCACUUUAAGUUGGGAGGAAGGGCAUUAACCUAAUACGUUAGUGUUUUGACGUUACCGACAGAAUAAGCACCGGCUAACUUCGUGCCAGCAGCCGCGGUAAUACGAAGGGUGCAAGCGUUAAUCGGAAUUACUGGGCGUAAAGCGCGCGUAGGUGGUUUGUUAAGUUGAAUGUGAAAGCCCCGGGCUCAACCUGGGAACUGCAUCCAAAACUGGCAAGCUAGAGUAUGGCAGA
This 600-nucleotide ribosomal RNA is filed under the name bacterium Ri.S7B. RNAcentral describes it as "bacterial SSU rRNA". It matches the Rfam family "Bacterial small subunit ribosomal RNA", at positions 60 to 655 of the family's 1533-position model. The record is from RNAcentral.